UGGUUUUCGGAUGAUAACUCAAGAACGCAUACGCUUAGGAUCAUGAAACUUCAUGGGUAGAUUGAUCAUGACUCGCAGAUGACCCCUAUUGAUUUUGAGGUCACUAGGUCAAAGGUCAAGGUCACGGUGACCCGAAAUAGUAAAAUGGUUUCCGGAUGAUAACUCAAUAACGCAUACGCCUAGGAUCAUGAAACUUCAUGGGUAGAUUGAUCAUGACUCGCAGAUGACCCCUAUCAAUUUUGAGGUCACUAGGUCAAAGGUCAAGGUCACGGUGACCCGAAAUAGUAAAAUGGUUUCCGGAUGAUAACUCAAGAACGCAUACGCCUAGGAUCAUGAAACUUCAUAGGUAGAUUGAUCAUGACUUGCAGAUGACCCCUAUUGUUUUUGAGGUCACUAGGUCAAAGGUCAAGGUCACGGUGACCUGAAAUAGUAAAAUGGUUUUCGGAUGAUAACUCAAGAACGCUUUUGCCUAGGAUCAUGAAACUUCAUAGGUAGAUUGAUCAUGACUCGCAGAUGACCCCUAUUGAUUUUGAGGUCACUAGGUCAAAGGUCAAGGUCACAGUGACAAAAAUCGUGCUCACACAAUGGCUGCCACUACAAUGGACAGCCCAUAUGGGGGGCAUGCAUGUUUUACAAACAGCCCUUGUUUUGUCAUUUGUUUUAAAU
This is a long non-coding RNA of Dreissena polymorpha, 666 nucleotides long. RefSeq lists it as uncharacterized. Lineage: Eukaryota; Metazoa; Mollusca; Bivalvia; Myida; Dreissenidae. The record is from RefSeq and is a predicted model, not a curated record. The transcript has 3 exons.